AUGAUUUUAAGGAUGUUCACCUGGAGUGUUUUUACAUAUAGUUCCAUAUUGCUUUAUGUCAUUGCAGUAGCAUCCUUGUUUUGCUAUCAUCACACCAUUCGGUACACUCUUCCAUCCACAUAUCAUUCCCUCUUUAAGAGAACCCUCCUGUCAUCCCAUUGGUCAGAAUCUUGCCACACCCACUCUUCAUCCAGACAGUUUGUGUCCGGGCCUGAGGUUCGAGCGAGUCGUUCAGAGGCCCAAGGUUGCAGACUUGGUCUUUUUGUGCACGCUACCCAGAAUUCCUUGUGACAUUUGUUGUGUGAAGAUUACUCACUGGCCCGUAGCCUAGUGUAGCACAACAGCGAUGGUUUUAAAGACACAGAGUUGGCGCUGUCCCAGCCUCGACACCUCACCCACAAACUGCGCCUCCUGUCAACCCCCACAGGCACCUAUUGUGGCGAAUCAGUGACCGUACCAUUCCUUCUUUCUGCUCUUCACCAACAAAUGAUAAACUAAGUGGAAAAAAAAACAGAAUGGCAUGAAGAAGAAAAGAAGAUCCAGAGCAUGUUGCCUUUCAGCUGAAGUCGUUGAGGACAAUGCAAGUGCUGGACCAUCAUUUUCAAAUGCACUGAAAAGCAGAGUACUGACAAGUUUCAUCAAACAAACAUUUCAUUAUUAUAUUUCUUACAACACAAUGCUUCAAUGAAAAUGAAUGCAAUGUUUAAAUAGAAAAGCAACAUAAUAAUAACUAUUCAAUGCUGCCUUUACAUGCUUUUUGAUUAAGUAUGUCAUGUUAAAGUGUUUUGAUCAGUCCUGCUGAUAGUUGCCACAUGUAUCAUUUGGUUCCAAAAAGCACCUGUCUCUAUCAGCAGAUGAAAAAUAUCGGUGAAUUCUGACUGAAUCUGACUUUUAAUUAUAUUGAUUAUAAUUGUUUUAAAUGUAUUAAAAUACUGUAUAUAUUGCUAAUGUAGUAUAAUACUGUAGAUAUUUUACCAGCAUUUUUCCUUAACAUUAAAUAUAUUUUCUAUUUUUAAUGUAUGAUAAAAUAUUGUUUAUCCUUGACAAAGGCCAACAGUUAUAAAACAGAGCAAAUAUAAUGUAAAAAUACAUGAAUGAUUUGAAUCUGUUAGUCUACUUUAGACAAAUAAAUAAAUAAAUAAUAAAAAUAACCUGCA
Cyprinus carpio (common carp) is the source of this 1157-nucleotide long non-coding RNA. The record is from Ensembl. Lineage: Eukaryota; Metazoa; Chordata; Actinopteri; Cypriniformes; Cyprinidae.